Non-coding RNA from Podarcis muralis (Common wall lizard), 392 nucleotides. NCBI's taxonomy places the organism in Eukaryota, Metazoa, Chordata, Lepidosauria, Squamata, Lacertidae. The record is from RefSeq and is a predicted model, not a curated record.
CUUUUUAUUCUGCUGUUUUUCUAAGGAGCUCAAACUGGUGUUCACAAUUGAUUGGCACCAACAGCGUACUUUCAAAGGGGAUACUCAUGCACCCACCAGCUGACUGGUGCCAAGAGGAGACAGUGUGAAAUUGUUAACUGAUGUCAUAAUGACAUUAUGUGAAUGACAGGAGACCUAGCAGGAGACCUGCAAAAGAGCUCGCGUUCACACUGUAUCUGGAAAAGGCUGCUGUCGGAAAUGCUGGAGAACUUCUGCUUUGACAGCACUGAGCUAGAGGAAUCAAUGGCAUGAGUUGGUAGGACAUAAUCCCAGCUCACCACAGAAAAUGGCAGACUCUUCCAGCUAUCACCUGAGAACUUUCCUCUCCUCUCCCAGUGUCUCACCCUGGGAGA